Long non-coding RNA from Branchiostoma floridae (Florida lancelet), 1546 nucleotides. RefSeq lists it as uncharacterized. The transcript has 2 exons. The record is from RefSeq and is a predicted model, not a curated record. NCBI's taxonomy places the organism in Eukaryota, Metazoa, Chordata, Leptocardii, Amphioxiformes, Branchiostomatidae.
CUGAUACGGAACCAUAAUCUUUCUGUAUCUUGGGUGAAUCUGCAACAAAUCCUAACAUCGGAUGCUGCUAUCUGGAACCUCAGAUCCGACAAAAUCCAAAAAUAAGGAUUUUUUAUGGAUACGGAACCAUAUUCUGUCUUUAUUUUUCGUGUAGCCGACUGGAAAUCUGUAACAUGUAACAUAUCCGAAUGCUGGACGCUGCUAUCCCAAACAAUAAAUCUGACAAAAUCCGAAAACAAGGAUUUUUGACAGGUCUGGAGCCUUAUUUACAUUUGUAUUUGCCAUAAUCCAACAUACAGACUUAACAGAUAUUCUCACCCUGAUAUGUUUGCAUUUACCACAAAUACACACAGAUCUAACACAUGAACUUUGAUAAAAUGGUUUAUUAUGCAUCCGUAAGUUUCAUACACAAAUUACCGACUCGGUUAACGUUACACCCCAUACAUCAUCAUUCAAAGCUAUCACUACUCACUCCGGCGAGCUCGCUCAGAGUCUCCACAUUACUAGUUUCCUCCACCUCUCUUUGUCAUCCAUCAUUGCGGGAAGUUGCUGCAGGUCCAAACCGCUGUCUUAAGCAAGCUGCUUAAUGAUCCUUAAUGUAUGACUUCCGCGGUCUUCCCCUGCCUCUGUGUCCAAGCUCGAUUUCCAGCAUAUCUGUAUGUCACAUUUCCAAGUUCAGAACCAAUCCAAUGAAAUAUAAUACUGAGUCAGAAGUUGUGUGGCGAAGUAAUCAUUUUCCCUUUUAGGUAGGCUGAAUGACAUCCACAUCAUAGCAUCAUAGGGGGCUGAAACUGAUAAGCGACGACUAGCGGUCGUAUGUGUAAUGUAGUACUAUUGAGACCCGCCUGGUGGCGCUGUUGCAGGUCACCCAACCAACCGCCCGACAAGGACGCUUCGCCAUUUUGUGGUUCCUUCCACAUUCUCUCCUGAGCUUUGCUCAACUUUGUUGGGCUGGUUCUGACCGCAAGAAAACAAAGCUGCAGCUGCUUGUAAUCCUUGGGGAUUGAGGACCACUUUUGUCGGUGACAGGUACAGCAACGCAGACAUGGUGGUGAACGCAGUGCGGAGCGUGAUAAAGGACUACUGGGCCCUGUCAUUCCCCCUCGCAGGCGUCGUCUUCGGCUUGUGGCUCAACAACUACGAGUCCACGCACAUGCUGGGCACCUACAAGAACAAGAGCAAGCUGUUCCAUAGAGAGCUCAAGCCGGGGGAGAAGGAGCCAUGGUGACAGACUAGCAGGAUGUCGAAGAGACUUUAAUAUGAUCUAUGUGGUUAUUGUUGAAGACCAGAAAUGUGAUUUCCAAGCAUCUCCUAUAGUUGGUAAUACCUGUGUAUAACCACAGCCAAUCAACUUUAUGUAUGACAGUAUGUAAUAGAAAUAUCUCCUUUUCCUUUUAAAAACAUUACAACUAUGAGUCCCCAGCUGUUGGGAAAUGAAUGAACACAAACCAUGUUGAACAGUUUCUUCACAAAUACUAAUAGAUUUAUUUGUAAGACUAGACAUACUAUGUUCACACAACAUAACACAAUAAAAAUGUAAACACUG